This 193-nucleotide unclassified non-coding RNA is filed under the name uncultured Cantharellus. RNAcentral's name for it is "sequence contains ITS2". Lineage: Eukaryota; Fungi; Basidiomycota; Agaricomycetes; Cantharellales; Hydnaceae. The record is from RNAcentral.
GUACCUCAAAGGAUUAGUUUAGGCUGAUUCUUUGGAUUUGGGUCUUGCUGUGAACAUGUCUCAGCUUACCUUGAAAACAUUAGCAAGCUUUUUCAGAGUCUUUUCUGAAUGAGGCGUUUUUAAACGUUUACGUCUCAAAGAAAAGCACUGGUCCAAAGCUUGCUUCUAAUCAUUGGGGUCUAUCAUUUUUUCA